CCACUACGCUAGUAGCGUAGCUGGGCCGCGGGUAUGCGGCGGGUGUGGCUGUGCUGAGGCGCGCUAGAAUAAAGGAAGCCUGGGCCAAGCUUGCGCUGGGGUUCGGGUUCAGCGCUACGUCAUCGGCGGAACCAUGGAGUCGAGCUGUUUAUCCCGGGGCAGUGGAGGCCACCCGCCUUUUGGGGGAUCCCUGCUUGGUACUUCGGGAAUUAGAUGAGUCAGUCCAGUGUAACCUAGUGGCCUACCAGCAUGUCAGAUGUACCACUUGUCAAGAAUGGAUGAGAAGGUGUGAAUGGGUUGUGAUUUGCAUUGUUGGAAGGAACUGAUAAAAUCUGAAAUUCAUUAAUGUAUUCAUCAAACAGGCUAUUGGAAUAAUUCAGAACAGCAGCAAUGUCAGAGGAGAAGAGAAGAGAGAUACUGCGAGAAGACAGGUCUUGGCAAUAGGUUGGAUAUGGAAGAACUGAUGAAAUCACCAAGUGUAUCUACACUUAGAGAAGAAGUGGA
This 504-nucleotide long non-coding RNA is filed under the name Sarcophilus harrisii (Tasmanian devil). RNAcentral's name for it is "lncRNA (ENSSHAG00000030663.1)". Lineage: Eukaryota; Metazoa; Chordata; Mammalia; Dasyuromorphia; Dasyuridae. The record is from RNAcentral.